GUUAGGGACUAUAAAAGUCAGUCUGGUUCUGCAAAAAAUUCAGAAUCUCCGUACUUACCGUGCAGCUCCCUAGUGUCCGCCACAAUGACUUCUUUUCUGUGUCUUGGAAUCGCUCUGAUUUUCAUCUCCGCUGCCCAGGCGCAGUCUGGAGGGUUUUGUCGAUAUGAUUCGGAUUGUCCCAUUGGUUACCAAUGUUUCAAUAACUACUGUCGAGAUAGUAUUAGCUCUCAGAGGUGUCGUUAUGAUUCUGAUUGUUCAUUUGGCGAAGUGUGCAUUAACAGACGGUGUCAAAGAGAUAAUAUAGGAAGAG
Molecule: long non-coding RNA, 310 nt
Organism: Saccostrea cuccullata (small rock oyster)
Lineage: Eukaryota; Metazoa; Mollusca; Bivalvia; Ostreida; Ostreidae
Exons: 5
Source: RefSeq, a predicted model, not a curated record